RNAcentral lists this ribosomal RNA (497 nucleotides) under uncultured bacterium. Its description in RNAcentral is "partial 16S ribosomal RNA". It matches the Rfam family "Bacterial small subunit ribosomal RNA", at positions 28 to 507 of the family's 1533-position model. The record is from RNAcentral.
GAUGAACGCUGGCGGCGUGCCUAAUACAUGCAAGUCGAGCGAACGGACGAGAAGCUUGCUUCUCUGAUGUUAGCGGCGGACGGGUGAGUAACACGUGGAUAACCUACCUAUAAGACUGGGAUAACUUCGGGAAACCGGAGCUAAUACCGGAUGAUAUUUUGAACCGCAUGGUUCAAAAGUGAAAGACGGUCUUGCUGUCACUUAUAGAUGGAUCCGCGCUGCAUUAGCUAGUUGGUAAGGUAACGGCUUACCAAGGCAACGAGGCAUAGCCGACCUGAGAGGGGGAUCGGCCACACUGGAGCUGAGACACGGUCCAGACUCCGACGGGAGGCAGCAGUAGGGAAUCUUCCGCAAUGGGCGAAAGCCUGACGGAGCACCGCCGCGUGAGUGAUGAAGGUCUUCGGAUCGUAAAUCUCUGUUAUUAGGGAAGAACAUAUGUGUAAGUAACUGUGCACAUCUUGACGGUACCUAAUCAGAAAGCCACGGCUAACUACGUG